Molecule: non-coding RNA, 433 nt
Organism: Coffea arabica (coffee)
Lineage: Eukaryota; Viridiplantae; Streptophyta; Magnoliopsida; Gentianales; Rubiaceae
Source: RefSeq, a predicted model, not a curated record
AAGAGUUUGAAGGCAAAAUAAGCAAACCAUGAAGAAAACAGAAAACACAAAACAGGAGCAAAGCAGAGGAGCAAAAGGAGGUAGAGAAGUCAUCGUCCUCGCAGUCGCUGCAAAGGCCAUCACUUCCCAAUUGAUGUUUUUAAGUGCAAAUGUAUUGGAAGGUGCUCAAGGCUGACAUCUUCGUCACAGUUAAGCUCCUGAACUCAUUUCUCUUGUUUGCUGGAUUCGUCCAUGUAAAUGGUAUCUGACAGGCUCAGGAAAGCAACGAUAUCUCACAGAUGACUCUCCUAUGGAGGACAGCAAGAGACUAAUGUGGAUUCAAGAGGAUGUCCAAAUUCUUGGAGUAAUAUGGAAUUCUAUGGAGCCACGAAUUACUUACAUGUAUUCUCAUUGUGAGACAACAAAAGAAGUUUAGAAUUAUGUUAAGUUAUUA